Molecule: ribosomal RNA, 549 nt
Filed under: Phyllosticta papayae
Lineage: Eukaryota; Fungi; Ascomycota; Dothideomycetes; Botryosphaeriales; Phyllostictaceae
Description: eukaryotic LSU rRNA
Rfam family: 5.8S ribosomal RNA (bases 178-331)
Source: RNAcentral
UGGGAUGCUGAGCGCCAGGCGCACCCAGAAACCCUUUGUGAACUUAUACCUUACUGUUGCCUCGGCGCAUGCCGGCCCCCCUGGGGGCCCCUCCUUCUGGAGGAGCAGGCACGCCGGCGGCCAACCUAACUCUUGUUUUUACACUGAAACUCUGAGAAUAAAACAUAAAUGAAUCAAAACUUUCAACAACGGAUCUCUUGGUUCUGGCAUCGAUGAAGAACGCAGCGAAAUGCGAUAAGUAAUGUGAAUUGCAGAAUUCAGUGAAUCAUCGAAUCUUUGAACGCACAUUGCGCCCUCUGGUAUUCCGGAGGGCAUGCCUGUUCGAGCGUCAUUUCAACCCUCAAGCCUGGCUUGGUGAUGGGGCACUGCCUGUAAAAGGGCAGGCCCUGAAAUUCAGUGGCGAGCUCGCCAGGACCCCGAGCGCAGUAGUUAAACCCUCGCUUUGGAAGGCCCUGGCGGUGCCCUGCCGUUAAACCCCCAACUUCUGAAAAUUUGACCUCGGAUCAGGUAGGAAUACCCGCUGAACUUAAGCAUAUCAAAAGCCGGAGG